AGGUUAGCUUGGGCAUGCUAUUCGCCAACUCGGUCAGAUCCGGAAGGAAGCAGCCGUAACGAUUGUUAGUGUGGGUCACUGCUAAUCUUCC
RNAcentral lists this signal recognition particle RNA (91 nucleotides) under Candidatus Endolissoclinum faulkneri L5. RNAcentral's name for it is "Bacterial small signal recognition particle RNA". It matches the Rfam family "Bacterial small signal recognition particle RNA". From Rfam's summary of the family: The signal recognition particle (SRP) is a universally conserved ribonucleoprotein involved in the co-translational targeting of proteins to membranes. Archaeal SRP consists of a 7S RNA and homologues of the eukaryotic SRP19 and SRP54 proteins. Lineage: Bacteria; Pseudomonadati; Pseudomonadota; Alphaproteobacteria; Rhodospirillales; Rhodospirillaceae. The record is from Rfam by way of RNAcentral.